CCCAGACUCCUACGGGAGGCAGCAGUGGGGAAUAUUGCACAAUGGGGGGAACCCUGAUGCAGCGACGCCGCGUGGGUGAAGGAGUACUUCGGUACGUAAAGCCCUAUCAGCAGGAAAGAAAAUGACGGUACCUGACUAAGAAGCCCCGGCUAACUACGUGCCAGCAGCCGCGGUAAUACGUAGGGGGCAAGCGUUAUCCGGAUUUACUGGGUGUAAAGGGAGCGUAGACGGCAGUGCAAGUCCGGAGUGAAAGCCCGGGGCUCAACCCUGGGACUGCUCUGGAAACUGCAAAGCUGGAGUGCGGGAGGGGCAGGCGGAAUUCCUGGUGUAGCGGUGAAAUGCGUAGAUAUCAGGAGGAACACCGGCGGCGAAGGCGGCCUGCUGGACCGUAACUGACGUUGAGGCUCGAAAGCGUGGGGAGCAAACAGGAUUAGAUACCCGUGUA
This 445-nucleotide ribosomal RNA is filed under the name uncultured bacterium. Its description in RNAcentral is "partial 16S ribosomal RNA". It matches the Rfam family "Bacterial small subunit ribosomal RNA", at positions 330 to 792 of the family's 1533-position model. The record is from RNAcentral.